RNAcentral lists this long non-coding RNA (364 nucleotides) under Malus domestica (apple). RNAcentral describes it as "long non-coding RNA (MDOM_LNC012869)". The record is from RNAcentral. Lineage: Eukaryota; Viridiplantae; Streptophyta; Magnoliopsida; Rosales; Rosaceae.
UGUCCGCGCCUCACUUUGCACUCCCCUGUCAGUUCUCUCCUCUUUUCUCUCCCUCUCUCUAUUUUUCUUUCUUUCUGUGCCUUCUCUCUCAAGCUGCCAAAUGCAGCGCCUAUCUCACUCUCCCUCCUGACUCCCUCGCUCAAGCUGCCAAAUGGCAGCCUUUCUCUCCUCCUUACGUCAGUCUCAGCUGCCAAGGGCAGCCCGUACCUCACACUUCCUCCUGACCCUUUGCGCCCCGUUCCUUCCUCUGACUGUCUCGCUGACAGUCCCUCCUAUCUCUCCCCUAUUCUCUUUUCUUCGUCCUUCUGCGAGCUGCCCAAAGGGCAGCUCCCUUCUCCGCUCCAAGACCCCCCUCUCUACAUAC